GGGCUUGUACUGGUUUCGACAGGGAUCUCGAAGAUGGAGAAGCUAUCCGUAGGCUGAUGCGUUAAAUCGCAAACUUAAAAUUAAACGCUAACGAUAAUUUCGAAUUAGCUGCAGCCUAAAUGCUGCAUGUCAGCCCUGAAGCACUCACACUUUAGGAAUCUGGCACCGACUAUGUGAGAAACGAUGACGGCAAAGCUUUGAGCCGUAGGCGUAUUAUGAAGCUACUGAACCCGUAAGGAUGUUAGUUUUCGUACGGCAGAGGGAAUGUCAAAUAACUGACUAUGAUAGUAGAAGUACAUGGGACAGGUUUUUGGACGCGGGUUCGAUUCCCGCCAGGUCCACUU
RNAcentral lists this transfer-messenger RNA (344 nucleotides) under Mediterraneibacter faecis. RNAcentral describes it as "Standard tmRNA". It matches the Rfam family "transfer-messenger RNA". Rfam says of the family: Bacterial tmRNA, also known as 10Sa RNA or SsrA, is named for its dual tRNA and mRNA-like properties. Its role is to liberate the mRNA from a stalled ribosome. The record is from RNAcentral. Lineage: Bacteria; Bacillati; Bacillota; Clostridia; Lachnospirales; Lachnospiraceae.